Molecule: RNA transcript, 1275 nt
Organism: Papaver somniferum (opium poppy)
Lineage: Eukaryota; Viridiplantae; Streptophyta; Magnoliopsida; Ranunculales; Papaveraceae
Exons: 4
Source: RefSeq, a predicted model, not a curated record
AAGUAGAUCCAGAAAACUGCAGACCAUGUGGUACUAAGCUUAUCACCAUUUGAGUUAAAGUGGAUCUCGAUAAACCACUUAAAAGAGGAUGAUGGCUAUAUACUUCUAGAUCUAACAAAAUGCACUGGGUGAGGUAUCAUUUUAAAAAACAGCCGCAUAAAAUCUAUAAAGAAUGUUUUGUGAUAGAGCAUAACGCAUCAACCUGUGAAGAAAAUGAAAACCAACUCAAAGUGGUGGCCUAUACUCCAGUGGAAUUUUACCAAUGGUGCCAAAAUCAUACAGAUGGCCAAGCGUUCAUGGCUGUCAUUGCAGAAGAAUAUGGGUGCCUUAAUAAGAAUCGUGCCUUAUCUUCAUCGACAAAACCAAAUAUUUCACAAGAAGGAGAGUGGUUUAAUAAUAGAAAGCGAUUGAAAAAUACGGAUACUGAAACCGAAGACUUGGAGAUUGAGGUCACUGAGAUGAAUUAUCCUGAUUCUGUGAGAUCUACUGCAAAUCAAAUCGUGGAGGGUGAUGUAGAGAUGCGAUGGAGAUUUUGAUACACAUGUUCUUGGAAAUCUCAAUAAUGGAACACAUGAUGGAACUGCAAACAAGGAUUGGAAUACCUUUAAAAGGUGUGAAGACAGGCUCAUUUGGAUUCCUGCAUCUAAUGGAAUAUUUACAGUUAAAACUUCUUAUCAAGCAGUUGACAAACAUGAUAGUAGUGUUACUAUUACUUCAGCAACCUUUCCGUGGAAAUAAUUAUGGAAGUUAGUGCUGCCACCAAAAGUCCUACACUUCCUUUGGAAGUGUGUGCAUAAAUGUCUUCCUGUUAAGAGUAAAAUCUUUACGAAUACAAUAGUUUUGCAGGUACAAUCCUUGGAGCAAAGGGUAUCCCAUCAGUAGCAGAGGAUAAAGAGCAGGCAGAAGCAAUGGCGGCAUUGGAGGCAGUUAAAAUGGCAAAAAAAAAAAAAAUGCAAAUCACAAACCUGCAGUUGCAAGGAGAUUGUCUUAAUGUUGUUAACACUUUAAAAGGGAGAGUUGGGUCCAUCAAAUGGACAAACAAUGCAAUUAUAAGGGAUUGUUUAGAAUUGCUUAAAUUUUCUAACAAGUGGGAUGUGUCUUAUAUUUCCAGAGCCACAAAUAGUGUGGCUGAUGUACUUUCCAAAAAUGUAAGUAGUAGUACUAGUAUAAUCAGAUGGGAAGAAAUGAUUCCCAGUUGAUUAGAAGAUCUCAUUAGAGAAAAAUUUAAUGUAAUUGAAGUUUAAGCAAUGAAAAUCUCCUUACCUAUUAAAAAAA